This 433-nucleotide ribosomal RNA is filed under the name uncultured Lachnospiraceae bacterium. Its description in RNAcentral is "partial 16S ribosomal RNA". It matches the Rfam family "Bacterial small subunit ribosomal RNA", at positions 341 to 792 of the family's 1533-position model. Lineage: Bacteria; Bacillati; Bacillota; Clostridia; Lachnospirales; Lachnospiraceae. The record is from RNAcentral.
ACGGAAGGCAGCAGUGGGGAAUAUUGCACAAUGGGGGAAACCCUGAUGCAGCGACGCCGCGUGAGUGAUGAAGUAUUUCGGUAUGUAAAGCUCUAUCAGCAGGGAAGAAAAUGACGGUACCUGACUAAGAAGCCCCGGCUAACUACGUGCCAGCAGCCGCGGUAAUACGUAGGGGGCAAGCGUUAUCCGGAUUUACUGGGUGUAAAGGGAGCGUAGACGGUUGUGCAAGUCUGAAGUGAAAGGCGGGGGCUUAACCCCCGGAUUGCUUUGGAAACUGUACGGCUUGAGUACCGGAGGGGUAAGCGGAAUUCCUAGUGUAGCGGUGAAAUGCGUAGAUAUUAGGAGGAACACCGGUGGCGAGGCGGCUUACUGGACGGUAACUGACGUUGAGGCUCGAAAGCGUGGGGAGCAAACAGGAUUAGAUACCCUGGUA